This 28-nucleotide non-coding RNA is filed under the name Mus musculus (house mouse). Lineage: Eukaryota; Metazoa; Chordata; Mammalia; Rodentia; Muridae. The record is from RNAcentral.
UGACAAACUGGUACUAGCACCUGCCUCA